ACACCGGUUCUUUUAAGAACCACCAAUUUUCCAAAAAAGAAUAAA
RNAcentral lists this non-coding RNA (45 nucleotides) under Paramuricea clavata. It matches the Rfam family "Histone 3' UTR stem-loop". From Rfam's summary of the family: The mRNAs of metazoan histone genes lack a poly-A tail. 3' end processing occurs at a site between a highly conserved stem-loop (modelled by this family) and a purine rich region around 20 nts downstream (the histone downstream element, or HDE). The record is from RNAcentral. Lineage: Eukaryota; Metazoa; Cnidaria; Anthozoa; Malacalcyonacea; Plexauridae.